Quercus robur (English oak) is the source of this 3654-nucleotide RNA transcript. It is a transcript of the gene named ATP-dependent Clp protease proteolytic subunit 5, chloroplastic-like, with no coding region annotated. The transcript is spliced from 4 exons. Lineage: Eukaryota; Viridiplantae; Streptophyta; Magnoliopsida; Fagales; Fagaceae. The record is from RefSeq and is a predicted model, not a curated record.
GAAAAAAAAAUUCUUCUGAUUUUAUACCCAACGUUGUUCAACUUUCUUCCCUUUGUACUCUCUCUAUCCUUACGGUAACUCCUCUCUCUCCAGGAAGGAUAACCGGCGACCAAAACCCAGCUAUUGUGGAGCCCAACCGCCCACCAUCAUGUUUAAUCACCGCUGUCUUCUCCUCUCUCUCCACUCUCCACUCUCCACUCUCCACUCUCCACUAUCUAUCUUCUCCGGCAACAGUUUCAGCCCCCAACACCCUGAGGCAGAACAACCCCACUUGAAUGGCUGCCUUAGUCCCUCUGCUAAGUUGGUGGUUGUGAUGUCUGAUCCAAAGCUUUGAACCACAUUAGGACACCCUUUUAAAGACCGAAGAAACCCUUCUUCAUUCAAGAGUGAAGAUAACCCAGAAGCAGCGUGUUCUGAUUUCACAGCAAUGGUUGGAGGAAAUCCAAAACAGGUUUCUUCAAUUUCGCAACAAAAACAGACCCAAAUCCUCCACGCCAAGCAAUUGACCCCUGCACCAAGACGAUGCUCCGUAACCCAGAGAAACCUCACCACCGGCAGUGUAGUCCUCUCUGGUUCGCUUCAUCCCUCCAACGACACAACCAGAAAAUUUCUGAAUUUCUAUGGAUUGUGGAACAAUGGUUGUAUCAAGCAGUGGGGUUCGAAGAGAAACAAGAAAUGGAUUAUACAAAAUGCUAACUUUGCUGAUAGUGGGUAAUAAUGGUAGAGAAAAAAAAAAAAAAAAGAUUUAUGAAAGCUAAUGUGCAUGGCAGAGGGUGUGCCUGCAUUUUCAGUUGUCAUUAUUGGCCUCACUAGGUCUAAUACGUGGAGAUGUUCUUCCUACAUGGUAUAUACAUGGUCUAGCAGUAUCUAAAAUGUCCAUUUAGCACAUGUAGGAGCAUAGACAAGAAGAGCUAAGAUUCACUUAAUUUCCCAUCAUUUUUUCAUGGUAAGGCUGUUCUUUUCUCCCUUUUGUUUAGUAUAUAGACACUCAUUAGCUUGAAUUCAAGCUUGACUUACAUUACUAAUCAAUCAUAGAAUACAUGACAGAGCAUGCUCAAUGUUAGGUGAAAGCUAUGUUAUUCUAUUGAGAUUAAGUUCUUGGUUUCAGGUUCUUAAAGGCUUUCUUUGAAUUGUCUAUACAAAAUGUUUUUGUAAAAUAUGUUAUUAUCUAAUUUUAUAAAGAACAUUUUUCUACCAUUGAGUUGGCUUAUCAGACUUGGAAUAUAUGUAGUUUGUUUUAAAUCUAAGCCACAUAUGUAAGGGGUUUGUGAUGUUUCCUUCCUUAGAGGUUUAGAGUAUGGGUAUGUACACUUUACAAGAAACUGUAAUCUGUGUACACACUUUACAAAUUUUUCUAAUAAUAGAAAAUUUUCUGCUGCGAUUGUUUAAUGCAAGCUGUUAGGAUGGCUUGCAAGGCUAGGAAAGCUGUGAAUUAUGGACACAAAUAUGAGCUAUGAAAACAAGUUGAGUAAAAAGUGAAGAACAUAGAAGUAAUACAAUGCUUGAGUGGUUUUCCUAAGGGAUCUUGAAUUUAGUAAGAAGAAGAGUACUAAUUUUGAGAAAAGUUGAGGAUAAAAGAAAAAAAAUUAUGAGGUGUUUGGCUCAACUGUUGUGGCUGUGAUUUACUUAUUUGUUCACAGUCAUAACUGUCCAAUAUAUUUUCAAAGAAAGAAAGCAUAGAAAAGACAAAGACAUGUUGAAUGUUAGAGGGUUUAAGCAAGGUUUGACUUUGACAUGCAUUGUAAAAUAGUAGGUGAAAGAUUAGCUUUUUUAGUAGGAUUUCUAGAGGCUUCUUGCAUGUUUACAAAGCCAGCCAAGGUGGUGAAGGAAAAAUUUUGUUUAUUCAAGUAGGAAGUUAUUGAGUAAUAAAUGGAUGUUAAUUUUGAAUGGGGUUUCAACGUAAAGAAGGUAGAUCUGUAGUUGGGUAUUACAAUAAUGAUGAUGGUGGUAGCAGCAAUGUUCCCUCAUCAAGUAGUUUUUUCAUCCCUACGAUUGCAGUUUAUACUGAGCACUGUUCUUUUUGCUUUAGUUUCAAAUUUUUAGUGGUUUCAAUGCUUCAUAUAGUUUGGUAGCUUUCCAAAGAAAGAUUAGUGGUGCUGGCAUUGUAGAUUUCAAUAAGUCAUGAUUAUAGAAUGCGUCUAUGCAUAACUUUAUUAAUCUGUGUUAGUUUAAAUAAAUUGUUGAACUUUCCCAUCAAUAUAUAAAAUUGUUUAUUAAAAUUUUCCGUAUAUUGUACGGGUUAGCGACUAAUAUAUUAUAAAACCAAAGUCUCUGACUUUUUGUUGACAUCAUAAGAGUGUUCCACCUCAACUUUGUAGCCUCCACAAAUUUACACAUCAUUAUUAAUUUAUAAUUUUUUUUUUUAAUUUACUUCAAUUUAACCCUUGAACAACCCUACUGUAUACAUGAACACGAUGGUAUUUGAAUACUUCCAGAUGCAGAAAACAAACCUUCAGUCCAAACUCCAACCUGAAUGGUGACUACCGCAGCCCCUCAGCCUUCCGCCAAGCCAAGUCUACCACCGCCCCAGAGUCAAAAACUGAAGCCUCUGACCAUUUCCUUCAAACUCUCUCUCUUUCAAAUGCACUCCCAUCUCCUUCUCCUUCUCCUUCUUCUUCAACUCUCUCAUCCAACGCAGCUCCCCAUCAUUUUCUAACCUCUCCAUCGUUGAAUUACAGAAGGAAAAUGAAAUGCUGCAUCAUAAAGCAAACCUUAAUGGAUAUCUCGCUCUUGCCUACCACACCGGUCAAAGUCUCGACAGGACCAAUCAUGAUACUGACCGAGAUUUCUUCAUGAGUGCAAAAGAAGCCAAAGAAUAUGGGCUUAUAGAUGGUAUCCUUAUGAAUCCUCUCAAAGCUCUUCAGCCACUGGCAGCUAUGGCAGAGGCUGAGACUAAAGUUGAGUCUGGUGUGUAAAUUUCUCUUGGGUGACUGCUGUGGAGGACAUGGCUUUAUAGAAGAGUUAAAUGAAGAAUGAUAUUUUUGGUGUGCCUGAGUUCAUAUUAGUUCAUGAUGCUGUUUUUCUUUAUAGCAGAGAAUUAAGAACCUUGAAUUUUGCUGCUGUUUACCCCUAAUUUCCAAAUGAUCAGUGUUGGCUGCAUAUCAUUCCUCUCUCUAUUUGAUAUGGUCGAAUAUGAGUAUUAGGUAUGGCUGUGUAUAAAAUUAUGGGGAUAUCUUCUUAAGAGAUUCUUCUUGUCAAGCUCUAUUUUUAUAUCUUUGGUUCUCCUUGAAAUAGGUUGAGCUUUGCGAUGAUGAGGAGUUUCUUGUUCUAGCUUAUGAUGGGAUGGUUAGUUGGUUUUUCACUUAUUAAUGUGUUUUUUCUCUCUAAUUUGUGAAAUUUACUCUGAAUGCUUUAGGGAUAAUAGUCGAAUCUGUAUUUGUUAAGUGGCAGUCCGGAUUCAAAACUUUGUGAAUUUGGUGAAAGUGUAGAUGUUCUUAUGUGUAUGAUGAUAAACUAGGCUAUAGGUGUUUGCCACUGCUUUAUUGGUUUUGUUGGUGCUAACAAGUCCUAAGGGCACAUCCAGUGCAAAAGAGCAUUGGAAAUAUGCUUCUUUGAUUACGCUCACAGGAAUCAGUUGUGAUAAUUUAUUUAUGUUAUGGUUGAUAAUGUUGUGAGCAUCAUUUUAGCUUCUAAAUUCAAUUGGGCCUUCAAUUA